Molecule: long non-coding RNA, 2795 nt
Organism: Gymnodraco acuticeps
Lineage: Eukaryota; Metazoa; Chordata; Actinopteri; Perciformes; Bathydraconidae
Exons: 6
Source: RefSeq, a predicted model, not a curated record
AAAUAGUGCAAAUUAAAUCACAAUAUCUUAAUUUAUAAUCCCAACAUUGCUUCCCAUGGGAAUCUUAACUCCAAAAAGUUACUUUUUACUGGCAGUAUUAACAUUUAAAGCUAGGGAAAAGCAAAAAGCUAUGCAAUUAUUUAAGAUAAGAUAAUUUUGUAAUAUUUGGUAACAUUUUCUAAAUAUUCAUUCAUCAAUAAAUAAGCCACUUACAAAAGUCAAAUGUGAGUGUUUAAAACAAAAGAAACACCAUAUGCCUGUUACAGACUCUGGGCAUCAUAUAAAUGGGCCACAUGGAAGUUGAGCAUGUUCCCAUAUAAUAAUACAAAGUUAUCCCAAUAACUGUUUUAGUCAAACAGUUAUUAUUCAGAAUAAAUCAUAUAUAAUUAAAUAAGCAUCUCUGGGGCCAAUUGGGUUAUUAUUUCUUAUUUGUUGACGUCAGUUGUGAUGAUUUAAACAUAACCCUUUGGAUGUUUUAAUCAAACUUUGUUGAUAAACAUUUGAAUGUAAUGUGUCUCAGACACAGGUGAGUGAAUAUGUAAACAUAGCAUUCUAACCGGCAACAUGACCGUAGUUUAUUUAUAAUAAUGUGUAGUCAAAUAGAUUUCACACUGUUGUCUCCAGCAUUGUCUAUUGCUGCCCUUAGUCUUUUGGAUACUUUUGCAAGGAAAACUAUGUGGGAGCAGAGCACAUCUUUGUUUUAGUGACUGGAAAUGCACUUUAGUGUACACUUGGUUUUAGUUAAAGUUAAAGCCUUUUAUUGUCAUUAUACAAAAAAUACAACGAGAUUCAGAGUGCAACUCUGUCCCAGUGUGCAAAAGCCGCCGACGGUUUUCUCUGCCAUCCUAAUCACUCUCUGCAGGGCUUUCUUGUCCGCAGCUGAACAUCCAGCAUACCACACAGAGAUGGAGAAUGACAGCACGCUCUCGAUGGUCGCCCGGUAGAAGGACACCAGCAGCUUCUUGUUCAGUCUGUUCCUCCGAAGCACCCUCAUGAAGUGCAGUCGCUGCUGGGCCUUUUUAACUGCUGCAGUGGUGUGUACAGCUGAGGCUCUCCGAAAUUUGAACCCCCAGGAACUUAAAGAGACAACUCCCCAGAAGAAGAAAUAACCUGCAGUUACGGGGAUGCUGACUGGCCUUUGCGCAAACAGUUCCAGGUGACAAACGGGCAUACUAAUCCAGAGGGAGUUGAGGAGGAGAGGCUCCCCUUAGACUUGACUUUCCCCGAAACAUCAACAAGUGACUGUGCUACGACCGAGUUCCAGGUGACAAACGGGCAUACUAAUCCAGAGGGAGUUGAGGAGGAGAGGCUCCCCUUAGACUUGACUUUCCCCGAGACAUCAACAAGUGACUGUGCUACGACCGAGUUCCAGGUGACAAACGGGCAGACUAAUCCAGGGAGGGAGUUGAGGACGAGACGCUCUCCUUGGAACUUUAUGUCUACAUAAGCAUCAAACAGUGACUGUGCUACUACCGAGGGAAACAAACGUUUGUGAAACGCAGCUGGACGUCAGCAGAAAGUGCUGCUGUGGAACAACACUUGGGUUAUGAAAUGGACAAUCAAGAACCAGGUUCCAGGGAAAGAUGCAUGUGAGGAUUGUAUCCCUGCCGAACCUCAAGCCCUAACAAAUAGGGACUGGGGAGCCGUUAAGUAUUACAUGAACAUUUCAAUUUCUUCUCUCCGAAUGUAAAUGAAAUAAAAUUGAACCAAGGAAAAAUACGUUCAAUGUUGAAAGAAGGGUUUCAAGUACCACUACCAAAACUAGGGGUUUUACCUAAACCAAACCAAAUUUUCAUUUUUGAAUCGUCAACUAAUAUAAAUUAAAGGGAAAUCAAUUGCAUUCCGAUUAUGCUGCUAGAAAGAAUCAUCCAUGUUUUUAAAGAUUUCCUUUUUUGCUUUUAGGGUUUUCCCUCUCCUGUAGUGUAGAAAAUAUCUUUUUGUGCAUGUAAAUGUUUUUCAAAGUCUAAAAUCCCUCAUUGAAGCAUGGAAACAUUUCACAGGAGAGAAACUUUAUACAAAUUUGAACCUCAAAAUGACCAGAAUAUGUCAUUGUUAAAUGUAACUCAAAAGGAGGUAAAAGUCUACUGAUUUGUUAGGCCUGUUUGUUUUGUUUUUUGGGUCAUGGGAUUGGUCAAGUUGUACAUUUUGUUUUAACGAUAUAGAAACACCCCAAUAAUAUACAAAUCAAUAUUUAUAGCAUUAAAAUAAUGUUGUAGAGAGUUUAUAUGAAUUAUACUUUUUUCUCAAGAAUUACUAAUUGUUGCCUCUAAGAAAAAACAAUGUUGAACGAAAAGGAUCUUUAGGGGAUUAUUGAUUUGGUCUCCAUGGUGUUUCAAUGUUACUGCCAUGUCUACUGUCUAGUUAUAUUCUAUGUUAAGAUGAGGCUAAUCACCUAAGUAAUGACUUAUUUUACCAGCAAUGUGAAUUUGUUGGUGUAAAAAAUAUCAGAGUAGAAUGUAAAUGUUCAUGAUGCUGUUCUGCAGUUUCUUUGGUAACAAGGAAAGUCCAUUCAACUCAAUAAUGUCUCUAGUAACUCUGAUCCCUUCCAAGAUAUGAAAACUAGAAAUAUGUGUGUGUCUGAUCCCUUCCAAGAUAUGAAAACUAGAAAUAUGUGUGUGUGUGUGUAUAAUGGACCUCAUAAGUGCUGACUGCUAGAAACUGGGCCCCACUAAGUGGGUAAAAAACUAGCAUAAUGACAAAAGCUUGGAAUUAUGUUUAUUUCAAGUGAUUUUUGUGAUUCUAGUUUUUUUUCUAUAUUGCCUGAUUUUUUUACGGAGGUCUAGUAUAAUUGGAAA